UUGUAAUUUGAAGAAGCGUUUACCGCGUCCGGGUCGACCCAAAUCCUUUGGGAUAAGGUAUCAUGGAGGGUGAGAAUCCCGUCCGGUUGACCGCAGGAUGUUUUACGUUACGCUCUCUAA
RNAcentral lists this ribosomal RNA (120 nucleotides) under Glomus sp. RNAcentral describes it as "partial large subunit ribosomal RNA". The record is from RNAcentral. Lineage: Eukaryota; Fungi; Glomeromycota; Glomeromycetes; Glomerales; Glomeraceae.